This 381-nucleotide small RNA is filed under the name Pseudomonas phage PAK_P4. Its description in RNAcentral is "putative antisense RNA". The record is from RNAcentral. Lineage: Duplodnaviria; Heunggongvirae; Uroviricota; Caudoviricetes; Vandenendeviridae.
GUAUGGGUACGAACAGCCUUGUAAACAAAUCCACCUCUAGUGCAGAACGAUUUGUUAGCAAUGUACUCUUGUGUACUAGUCCACUCUGGGAUGCCCUUCUGUAGCAAAUACGCUAGGUUAGUAUCGUGAAGGUUCCACUUCCAGUUCCACCAUUGGCGAGGAACCGACUGAAUACCCCAUCCGCCUUGCUGCUGCGCAGGGGUCGGGGCUACCAUAUCCCCGCCUGUGGACCAAAUAUUUUCAAUAGGUAGUUGACUGUAAUCAGCCAUUUAUAACUCCUUAUGUCACUAGGUUGGUCAGAAUUCCACCAACAGUGGGAUCGUUUAGGUCUCCAACGCCUUGUCCUCCGGGGAAGCCUUCUGUAGCAAAUACCCGGCCAGC